GAUGAACGCUAGCGGCAGGCCUAACACAUGCAAGUCGAGGGGCAGCACAUAAAGUGGUUUACUACUUUUGGUGGCGACCGGCGGACGGGUGCGUAACGCGUAUGCAACCUGCCUCCAACAGGGGGAUAACGGAGAGAAAUUUCCACUAAUACCCCAUAAUAUCAGAAUCGGCAUCGGUUUUGGUUGAAAACUCCGGUGGUUGGAGAUGGGCAUGCGUUGUAUUAGAGAGUUGGUGAGGUAACGGCUCACCAAGUCAACGAUACAAAGGGGGACUGAGAGGUUAGCCCCCCACACUGGUACUGAGACACGGACCAGACUCCUACGGGAGGCAGCAGUGAGGAAUAUUGGUCAAUGGGGGCAACCCUGAACCAGCCAUGCCGCGUGCAGGAAGACGGCUCUAUGAGUUGUAAACUGCUUUUACAAGGGGAUAAAUCGGCGUACGUGUACACCGUUGAAGGUACCUUGGGAAUAAGGAUCGGCUAACUCCGUGCCAGCCGCCGCAGUAA
RNAcentral lists this ribosomal RNA (506 nucleotides) under uncultured bacterium. Its description in RNAcentral is "partial 16S ribosomal RNA". It matches the Rfam family "Bacterial small subunit ribosomal RNA", at positions 28 to 523 of the family's 1533-position model. The record is from RNAcentral.